AUUGAACGCUGGCGGCAUGCCUUACACAUGCAAGUCGAACGGCAGCGGACCUUCGGGUGCCGGCGAGUGGCGAACGGGUGAGUAAUAUAUCGGAACGUACCUUUCAGUGGGGGAUAACGUAGCGAAAGUUACGCUAAUACCGCAUAUUCUGUGAGGCAGGAAAGCAGGGGAUCGCAAGACCUUGCGCUGAUUGAGCGGCCGAUAUCAGAUUAGCUAGUUGGUGAGGUAAAGGCUCACCAAGGCGACGAUCUGUAGCGGGUCUGAGAGGAUGAUCCGCCACACUGGAACUGAGACACGGUCCAGACUCCUACGGGAGGCAGCAGUGGGGAAUUUUGGACAAUGGGCGCAAGCCUGGAUCCAGCCAUGCCGCGUGAGUGAAGAAGGCCUUCGGUUGU
Molecule: ribosomal RNA, 395 nt
Filed under: uncultured bacterium
Lineage: Bacteria
Description: bacterial SSU rRNA
Rfam family: Bacterial small subunit ribosomal RNA
Source: RNAcentral